GAUGAACGCUAGCUACAGGCUUAACACAUGCAAGUCGAGGGGUAACGAGAGGAAAGCUUGCUUUCCUUGUCGACGACCGGCGCACGGGUGAGUAACGCGUAUCCAACCUGCCCCCAACUAGGGAAUAACCUUGCGAAAGUAGGACUAAUACCCUAUAAUUUCCUCAGAUGUCAUCUGACGAGGAAUAAAGAUUUAUCGGUUGUGGAUGGGGAUGCGUCUGAUUAGCUUGUUGGCGGGGUAACGGACCAACAAGGAAACGAUCAGUAGGGGUUUUGAGAGGAAGGUCCCCCACAUUGGAACUGAGACACGGUCCAAACUCCUACGGGAGGCAGCAGUGAGGAAUAUUGGUCAAUGGGCGGAAGCCUGAACCAGCCAAGUAGCGUGCAGGAUGACGGCCCUAUGGGUUGUAAACUGCUUUUAUACAGGAAUAAAGUUAGCCACGUGUGGUUAUUUGUAGGUACUGUAUGAAUAAGGACCGGCUAAUUCCGUGCCAGCAGCCGCAGUAA
This 506-nucleotide ribosomal RNA is filed under the name uncultured bacterium. RNAcentral's name for it is "partial 16S ribosomal RNA". It matches the Rfam family "Bacterial small subunit ribosomal RNA", at positions 28 to 523 of the family's 1533-position model. The record is from RNAcentral.